Molecule: long non-coding RNA, 1370 nt
Organism: Ostrinia nubilalis (European corn borer)
Lineage: Eukaryota; Metazoa; Arthropoda; Insecta; Lepidoptera; Crambidae
Exons: 2
Source: RefSeq, a predicted model, not a curated record
GUUGGGCGCCUCCGUCAAGAUCGACCAGGGGCGCCCCAUCGACACCGGCAAGUCUUCUUGCUGCUGAACACGUCGCCAAGGCGGGCGGCUUCACGCAGAGGCGGCGUGAGCUGGCGCCGGCCGCCGCACCCGAUAUAUAAAAUGCAAUUACCACAAAUGUUUCAUGAUCGCAUCAUAUUAAAGUAAUUAGAUCGAGCGCCACCCGAGCCCUCGACGCGACUACGUCUAAUUAAGCUAACUCUUAUUAAGUUGCUAUGUCCAAUAAAUAUUGUUAAAGCAAGGUGAAAUGGAUGGGUGUAUGUUUAUACAUGUUUAUAUUAAAUAUCGUAGGUUAAUUAUUUCGUGCUGUUCGGAUAUCGAUGCAGGCAACAUCAGCGUAGUUGUAUGAGAGGAAAAUCACAAGUGUUUUUGUAUCGUAUAGAGUAAUUUAGACAGACUUGUAACAUACUCCGUUUCGCUCGCACUACGCUACGGCUGGGAGUGAAGUGCGAUGGAAGGUAAUUGCAUGGCACUUUACUCUAAAUAACACCUUACGCUUAACGUAAUAGACGCCCAUUCAUUCUAGCUCGGUCCGCAGUGAUAUGAGAAAUUAAAAACUCAAAUUUUUUGUAUGACUCAAUUGUAAAAGUAAUGUAAUUUGUGUAUAUUGCCAGUAGGGUUCUUCCACACAGUAGCGUAGUGUGCAGCCCUUACGUAACUUUCGACCUUCUCAGCUGUCCAUUCGUAGGCUUAAUAUUAUUGUUUUAUUCCAGCUUGUGUUACUCUAUAAUUUUAUCACGUGAAAUACUAAUUUAAUACUUCGUAUGCACUGGGUGUUUAUAUUAUUGAAUAAUAUCGUGAAGCGUUCUGGGGAGUGCUAUGUUGAAAAUUUUGUGUUAGAACUUUUAAAAUGUAAGACUACUCUGUCGUAACUUUUAACACAAAAUUGUAGAUAUAGCAAAUUGGCCUUAGAUAAUUUAGACAGAUAUUAUAUAGUAAACUUAUGUAGUCAUCGAUUAAAGUAAAGCGGGAUCAUAGUAUUAAUUAAAAGACAUAUUCAUAUAUCAAUAUCACAGAAGUAUUGUGAUAAUUUAAAAUUAAACAGCGAUUUAAUGUUCUAAGCGCGGUUGUAUAUUUGUAUCUGUUUCGUAUUGUGCGUCCUGUGUUCUGAGAAAGGAUUAGUAAAUAUGCUGAAGUAUUUAAUUGAUUGUGUUUAGAAUAUUAAAUCGUAUUAAUUAUUUUAUUACCUGUCGAUCUUUGUAACUUACUCGCAAUGUCGUUAUUUUUAUACUAUUAUGUCUGAGUUAAGUUUACUUAAAUCAAAUCCGCUAACCCACUGUAUUUCUGUAUUGAGGGUUUCUUAGAAAUUAAAACAGUAUGCUAUAUAAAAA